UGGGGGGAAGCGCAGGCUGCGUCCUGAUGAGAAAUGGAAAUCUGGCUCCAAGUCAUCCUUCCUGUUGUUGACAUCACCUGAAAACUCCGCGGAAGAGAUUUCCACUAGUUCACUGCGAGCAGCAGCUGCCCCUGAGGACCCAGCACCCCGAGCAGCGCACCAGACCGUGGUACGGACACUCAGCACUGGAGAGCCUUCAGGCUGAAGCUGGCAUCCCUGUUGUCCUCAGCCAGAGGCUGCCCCUGCAAGACAGAGCUGUGACAUGUUCAUCAGAAAAAACUGAACAGAAGAUCCUU
Molecule: long non-coding RNA, 296 nt
Organism: Calidris pugnax (ruff)
Lineage: Eukaryota; Metazoa; Chordata; Aves; Charadriiformes; Scolopacidae
Exons: 3
Source: RefSeq, a predicted model, not a curated record